RNAcentral lists this ribosomal RNA (429 nucleotides) under Chloroflexota bacterium. RNAcentral's name for it is "Chloroflexi bacterium partial 16S ribosomal RNA". It matches the Rfam family "Bacterial small subunit ribosomal RNA", at positions 355 to 776 of the family's 1533-position model. Lineage: Bacteria; Bacillati; Chloroflexota. The record is from RNAcentral.
UGGGGAAUAUUGCACAAUGGGCGCAAGCCUGAUGCAGCCAUGCCGCGUGUAUGAAGAAGGCCUUCGGGUUGUAAAGUACUUUCAGUCGGGAGGAAGGUGGUAAGGUUAAUAACCUUGGCAAUUGACGUUACGGAAAGAAAAAGAACGGGCAAACUCGGUGCCAGCAGCCGCGGUAAUACGGAGGGUGCAAGCGUUAAUCGGAAUUACUGGGCGUAAAGCGCACGCAGGCGGUUGAUUGAGUCAGAUGUGAAAUCCCCGGGCUUAACCCGGGAAUUGCAUCUGAUACUGGUCAGCUAGAGUCUUGUAGAGGGGGGUAGAAUUCCAUGUGUAGCGGUGAAAUGCGUAGAGAUGUGGAGGAAUACCGGUGGCGAAGGCGGCCCCCUGGACAAAGACUGACGCUCAGGUGCGAAAGCGUGGGGAGCAAACAGG